This 447-nucleotide ribosomal RNA is filed under the name uncultured bacterium. RNAcentral's name for it is "partial 16S ribosomal RNA". It matches the Rfam family "Bacterial small subunit ribosomal RNA", at positions 29 to 523 of the family's 1533-position model. The record is from RNAcentral.
AACGAACGCUGGCGGCAGGCUUAACACAUACAAGUCGAACGCAUCGCAAGAUGAGUGGCAGACGGGUGAGUAACGCGUGGGAACAUACCCUUUUCUACGGAAUAGCUCUGGGAAACUGGAAUUAAUACCGUAUACGCCCUACGGGGGAAAGAUUUAUCGGGGAAGGAUUGGGCCGCGUUGGAUUAGCUAGGUGGGGGGGUAAAGGCCUACCAAGGCGACGAUCCAUAGCUGGUGUGAGAGGAUGAUCAGCAACAUUGGGACUGGGACACGGCCCAGACUGCUACGGGAAGCAGCAGGGGGGGAUAUUGGACGAGGGGCGCAAGCCUGAUCCAGCCAGGCCGGGGGAGUGAUGAAGGCGUUAGGGUUGUAAAGCUCUUUCACCGAUGAAGAUAAUGACGGUAGUCGGAGAAGAAGCCCCGGCUAACUUCGUGCCAGCCGCCGCCGUAA